This 79-nucleotide ribosomal RNA is filed under the name Acanthosepion pharaonis. Lineage: Eukaryota; Metazoa; Mollusca; Cephalopoda; Sepiida; Sepiidae. The record is from RNAcentral.
AGAUCACCGAAGUUAAGCAUCGUAGAGCCAGGUCAGUACUUAGAUGGGGGACCGCUUGGGAACACCUGGUACUGUAAGC